RNAcentral lists this ribosomal RNA (893 nucleotides) under Escherichia coli. RNAcentral describes it as "partial 23S ribosomal RNA". It matches the Rfam family "Bacterial large subunit ribosomal RNA", at positions 609 to 1506 of the family's 2925-position model. Lineage: Bacteria; Pseudomonadati; Pseudomonadota; Gammaproteobacteria; Enterobacterales; Enterobacteriaceae. The record is from RNAcentral.
UGUAUAAUGGGUCAGCGACUUAUAUUCUGUAGCAAGGUUAACCGAAUAGGGGAGCCGAAGGGAAACCGAGUCUUAACUGGGCGUUAAGUUGCAGGGUAUAGACCCGAAACCCGGUGAUCUAGCCAUGGGCAGGUUGAAGGUUGGGUAACACUAACUGGAGGACCGAACCGACUAAUGUUGAAAAAUUAGCGGAUGACUUGUGGCUGGGGGUGAAAGGCCAAUCAAACCGGGAGAUAGCUGGUUCUCCCCGAAAGCUAUUUAGGUAGCGCCUCGUGAAUUCAUCUCCGGGGGUAGAGCACUGUUUCGGCAAGGGGGUCAUCCCGACUUACCAACCCGAUGCAAACUGCGAAUACCGGAGAAUGUUAUCACGGGAGACACACGGCGGGUGCUAACGUCCGUCGUGAAGAGGGAAACAACCCAGACCGCCAGCUAAGGUCCCAAAGUCAUGGUUAAGUGGGAAACGAUGUGGGAAGGCCCAGACAGCCAGGAUGUUGGCUUAGAAGCAGCCAUCAUUUAAAGAAAGCGUAAUAGCUCACUGGUCGAGUCGGCCUGCGCGGAAGAUGUAACGGGGCUAAACCAUGCACCGAAGCUGCGGCAGCGACGCUUAUGCGUUGUUGGGUAGGGGAGCGUUCUGUAAGCCUGCGAAGGUGUACUGUGAGGUAUGCUGGAGGUAUCAGAAGUGCGAAUGCUGACAUAAGUAACGAUAAAGCGGGUGAAAAGCCCGCUCGCCGGAAGACCAAGGGUUCCUGUCCAACGUUAAUCGGGGCAGGGUGAGUCGACCCCUAAGGCGAGGCCGAAAGGCGUAGUCGAUGGGAAACAGGUUAAUAUUCCUGUACUUGGUGUUACUGCGAAGGGGGGACGGAGAAGGCUAUGUUGGCCGGGCGACGGUUGUC